RNAcentral lists this small RNA (99 nucleotides) under Flavobacterium sp. CECT 9288. RNAcentral describes it as "Flavo-1". It matches the Rfam family "Flavo-1 RNA". Lineage: Bacteria; Pseudomonadati; Bacteroidota; Flavobacteriia; Flavobacteriales; Flavobacteriaceae. The record is from RNAcentral.
CCAUAGCCCUGAUAGCAGCGGCAUCCUUUAUUUGCGGGGUACAGCCAUAAAAAUGGCUGUACCCCGCAAAUAAAGAUAUAGCGAAUAGCAAGAAAUGGC